AGCCUCCGCGGGGUGGUCCUCAAGUCCGUCCAGAUAAUGUGUGUGAGGAUGAUGAGAGAGGAGCCCAGGAAGGACAGAGCGCAGAGUGACAUUAAGCGUCCUGCUGUGGAGACACAAACGAUACGAAGUGUGGCGUAACUUUGGGGUCUCCUUCGGCGUGAGAUGGAUGGCGGUGAAGGAGCGGUGAUGGAGAACGUCUGACAGCUGGCAGCUCUGUUGUAGUUGCUUCUUGGAGGAGUGCCGCAUAUCCUCGACAGCAGCUCGUGUCAUUUGCAGAAGUGCGCUGUCUCCUGGCCUACAUUCACCGCUGCCGUCAUGCUACAGCCAGAAACGAGUCGAGCACGCAGGGGCAAAGACAGAUAAUGCACCGUCUCCUCCAGAGGUGCUUUUUCAACACCCGUGUCUUCCUGUGAAGGUAUUCAGCUGCUGCAGUGUCUCUACAGGGGGAGUCCUGACUCAUGCACUGCUUCCGAUUAAAAAAACAAAACAAAAAAGCGCUCAGCCUCUGAAAGGGCUGAAAGCAGCUGUACACCGGGAGAGCUGAUUUACAAAGAGACAGAGUAAAAAAGAUUAAAACUUUGCUUUUUUGGAGCCUUUCAUCAAAUAUGAUACUCUAUUUGAUAACUGUGUACAGUGCUAAAAGACAGAGCUCCUCUUACAGAUUUCUGUUUUUGAUUUAUAGUCAGAUUAAUUAAUUUUAAAACCAGUCAGGAAUAUUUUGAGCAUUUACAAAAUGCGUUUUUCAAACACCACCACACAAAGGUGAACACAAAAGCGUGUAUUCUGUUAUAUCUGCGGUAAAACUAACAUGCAUUUUAUUUAAAAAAAAAAGAACAAAAAAGAAAAGAAAGCUCUGCAAACAUGUUGCUGAUCCAGGAUCUGGAAGAUUUGCUCUCUACCAGAAAAUCCUGAGGGAAAAUGUCCAGCCACCAGUUUGUGAUGUUGAGCUCAGGCACACUGGGGUUGUGCAGCAUAACAAUCAUUCGAAGCUGUCCAGCAAGACCUCUGAAUAUAAAAAAAA
Molecule: long non-coding RNA, 1021 nt
Organism: Poecilia latipinna (sailfin molly)
Lineage: Eukaryota; Metazoa; Chordata; Actinopteri; Cyprinodontiformes; Poeciliidae
Exons: 3
Source: RefSeq, a predicted model, not a curated record